Molecule: unclassified non-coding RNA, 211 nt
Filed under: plant metagenome
Description: partial contains small subunit ribosomal RNA and internal transcribed spacer 1
Source: RNAcentral
AAGUUAUAAUAAGGUUUCUAUAGGUAAACCUAUAGAAGAAUUAUUACUUUUCUAGCUAUUUAAUAGCUUAUCUAGAAGCUAUAGUUUCUGUAGUUCUUAACUAUAUCUAUGUUUUUUACGUACUAUAUAUUUUCUUAGCAGGCUUACUUACUAGUUAGACAAACUAAAACUUUUUGUAAUUAUAAUUAGCGUCUAAAUUAUAUAAUAAUUA